CGAGAUCUGAUGGUUUUAUAAAGGGUAGUUCCCCUGCACUCCUGUUAAGAAGGACAUGUUUGCUUCCCUUUCCACCAUAUUGAGAGAAGACUGUUCUCUGGUCAAGUUUGUGCUUCUGGGAACAUCUCAUCAAACGUCCUGCCAGCGGGCUUAGUACUGGAAUUUGAAUAUGGGCUUCUCUUUUCAUCAACCAGCUGUGUUGCUGUCAGCUUUUAUCUCGGGCUGGACACUUUGGAGUGUUUAACUGAAAGUGAUGAAAGGCACCAGGGGAGCCAGAAGAGCAGAAGAGGUGACAGCUGACCAGAAAGAGACUGGCUCUGCAGCCUGGGCAACCUGUCAUGGAAAGGUACUGCAGCUGCAGGCCUCAGAGCUGUCCAGAAUUACUCUCAUGAACAUGUUUGGGAAAGAAGUUAUGAAGUAGAGGCAAGAGUGUGUUACAGGAUCUCACUCUGUCAUCCAGGCUGAAGUGCAUGGGCGUGAUCUCGGCUCACUGCAGCCUCAGCCUCCUGGGCUCAAGCAACCCUCUCGCUUCAGCUCCUCCAGUAGCUGGGACUACAGGCUCCAGGCUCCUGCCACCACACUCGGCUAAUUUUUGUUUUUGUUGAGACGGGGUUUUGCCACGUUGCCCAGGCUAGUUUUGAACUUCUGAUUUGAAGUGAUCCUCCCACCUCAACCUCCCAAAGUGCUAGUAUUGCAGAUGUAAGCCACCAUGCCUGGACUCUCUUUUCUAAAUAGAAAAGAGAGAGAGAGAGAGAGAGAGAGAAGCGAAGGGAGUAAAAAAGGGAAAUGAAAACAUAAAGUAGAAUGAAGAAAGGACAAGAGGAUAUCCUGAUAUCCUGGGAGACCCCCAUGGUUUGAAGCAGGAGUGUACAAGAAAUAGAGCCAGAGAAGUGGGCAGAGAAGAGACAGUGGAGGCAGGGGCUGGUGUAGUGGAUUCCAUACGAAGGAAGGCCAGUUCUUUCAUUCUUGACACUGACAAUGAGGUACGUGCUUUGCUAGGCUCUGAAGAUGCAGAGGAAAUAAACAGAUGUCAAAAGAAACAGUAGAGAAAAGAGGAAAAGAAAGAACAUUCGAGAACAAAAUUUCAAUGACGCCCUCUACAAACAGUCAAGCACAGCUAAUUAAUGACAUCAGAAAGAACAUUAGUGUCUUCCUUGGUUUGGUAACUUGGAAGAGAGAAGUUAUCAGGGACACUGAAUCCUUCAGUCAAACUGUUCAUCCAACUGUGUGCUCAGCAGGUGUGUCUCAAGACGGACUCCAUGGACAGAUUACACAUUAGUGUCAGAAGUCGGGCGGGGGGAGCCAGAAAAGGUAUGGCUAAAAACAUCCAUCCUGGCUCUAAAGGAAGCUUAGAGUCAAUGCAGGAGCUCAGGGGAUGCAGAGGCAUUCUCCAAGUCCCCAUCAACUUUGCCAAAAAUGCUCAUGACACCAAGCCCACAGGGCCCUUCUGUCCCUAUGGAAGGGUUUUAACAAUCUACAAAGUUGGUGAUGUCACCUGUAGAGUGGUCACCUACAAAAAUGAGGGCACAUGGCUUAGUGAUGACAUGGGAGAUUGAGUGAAAUUUGCUCCAAUGAAGUACACAGGGCUUUGAAGAAUUUGCUUUACAAUUUGAAUCAUAAUCAUGUUUUUAAAAGUUUUUUUUGUAAUAUUUCAUGUAAAGGCAGAUUAGUAAUGAAAGGCACAUGUUUCUCUUGGUUCUUUUAUGUUGUCUUGUAAAUGUUGGGUCUUAGAAGUUGUAUUAUUUUUGUCUUUGCUCUGGAGGCCUGCUGUUUCCUUAAUUGAUGUGGUAGCAUUUGACUGGCUUUAUUCCCAUCGUCACAUAGUCAUUAUUUUCCAUAUCUCAGUUGUUGCUCCAUUUCAUUAACUUUAUUCAGAAAAUUGCUCCCUAUUUAUCUAUUUAUAGGUUUUGAAUGCAUGUAGUCUUUGUCCAAAACCAGUAUGAUUUCCUUUAUCUUUUUGCUUUUGAUCUUUAAUUUUUCUUUGUUCAGAAUCAAUCAUUUUUCCCCUCGAUACUCCCUUUGAUAUUCCCUUUUUCUACUGCUGCCACAGUAAUUGGAAUUUUCUUGAAUUUUUACUUUAUUUAAAAUCUUUUGCUUGUGGGUGGUCAAUUCGAGAGCCAGCCGUUCACAAGUCUGAAGCUCCUAAUCUAAUGCCCCAGGCUUUCAGCACCUCCAGUGCCAGUUCUAGCUCCUUCCUCCACCAAAGUCAAUAUCCUAAAAAGCUCUCUGAGCUCUUCCCUCUCACCAAGUAGCUUUUCUUUCCCUUUGUUGAGUUUUUCUGUUUUUGUGCGCCUAUGAUUCCCCCUUAACCAUAGAAUCAUCACAACUUAUAAUCCUGAUCCUUUUACUAUUACUAUCUGCUAAUACAUGUCAGUUCAUUCAUUUUAACUCAUUUUUCAUAUUUUUACAUAAACUCCUAGUGCCAUUAUUUACUAUAAAUUUAAACUUCUUAGGUCUUCUAUUUCUGAACUAUCAACAACUAUCAACCAGUAUAUAAAACUGGCCUUUUGUCAGCUCCAUGUACUCAUUAAUUUAAUGUAAUCGUUAUUGUCUAGAUCAUUAAAUCUGUUUUAGUUGAUUGGUUCUUUUGUAUCCUUUAUCCUCAGUCUUAAGCCGAGAGGAAACUGUGUUGUAGAAUUCAAUAUAUAUCCAUCUGUAGAAUGAAUGAAUGAAAACCAGUGUGUUUCGGCUCACGGGAGCACUGCCUAGUAUCUCACCAUCACCUUCUGUGUUGCUUUCUGCGAUGUACGUUUAGAUCCAGUCAGGCACGGUAAGGCUGUGAAUCUCCGGUUUCUCUGAUUUCAAGAUUUCACUAACUGUUUAUGAAACCUUUUAUCUAGUUAACUCAGCUGCUUGCUAUUAAGAUGCGUUAGCUUCUUGGCUCAGAAAUAAAGUCCCAGGGUAAGAAAAUAAAGAGGCCUGGUGUUCUCUGUUACUGAAGCCCUGCUUGGCUGUCCCUGGCUUAAGCUUCC
RNAcentral lists this long non-coding RNA (2972 nucleotides) under Homo sapiens (human). RNAcentral describes it as "HSALNT0301062". The record is from RNAcentral. Lineage: Eukaryota; Metazoa; Chordata; Mammalia; Primates; Hominidae.